GUGGGAAUAGCUCAGUGGCAGGGCAUAUGCUUAGCAUGCACAAGGUCCUGGGUUCAAAUCCUGGUACCUCCU
RNAcentral lists this transfer RNA (72 nucleotides) under Camelus bactrianus (Bactrian camel). It matches the Rfam family "tRNA". Rfam says of the family: Transfer RNA (tRNA) molecules are approximately 80 nucleotides in length. Their secondary structure includes four short double-helical elements and three loops (D, anti-codon, and T loops). Lineage: Eukaryota; Metazoa; Chordata; Mammalia; Artiodactyla; Camelidae. The record is from Rfam by way of RNAcentral. RNAcentral also lists the same sequence under 1 other name.